This 1556-nucleotide ribosomal RNA is filed under the name Salmonella enterica subsp. enterica serovar Panama str. ATCC 7378. RNAcentral's name for it is "bacterial SSU rRNA". It matches the Rfam family "Bacterial small subunit ribosomal RNA". The record is from RNAcentral. Lineage: Bacteria; Pseudomonadati; Pseudomonadota; Gammaproteobacteria; Enterobacterales; Enterobacteriaceae. RNAcentral also lists the same sequence under 3 other names.
UUAAAUUGAAGAGUUUGAUCAUGGCUCAGAUUGAACGCUGGCGGCAGGCCUAACACAUGCAAGUCGAACGGUAACAGGAAGCAGCUUGCUGCUUUGCUGACGAGUGGCGGACGGGUGAGUAAUGUCUGGGAAACUGCCUGAUGGAGGGGGAUAACUACUGGAAACGGUGGCUAAUACCGCAUAACGUCGCAAGACCAAAGAGGGGGACCUUCGGGCCUCUUGCCAUCAGAUGUGCCCAGAUGGGAUUAGCUUGUUGGUGAGGUAACGGCUCACCAAGGCGACGAUCCCUAGCUGGUCUGAGAGGAUGACCAGCCACACUGGAACUGAGACACGGUCCAGACUCCUACGGGAGGCAGCAGUGGGGAAUAUUGCACAAUGGGCGCAAGCCUGAUGCAGCCAUGCCGCGUGUAUGAAGAAGGCCUUCGGGUUGUAAAGUACUUUCAGCGGGGAGGAAGGUGUUGUGGUUAAUAACCGCAGCAAUUGACGUUACCCGCAGAAGAAGCACCGGCUAACUCCGUGCCAGCAGCCGCGGUAAUACGGAGGGUGCAAGCGUUAAUCGGAAUUACUGGGCGUAAAGCGCACGCAGGCGGUCUGUCAAGUCGGAUGUGAAAUCCCCGGGCUCAACCUGGGAACUGCAUUCGAAACUGGCAGGCUUGAGUCUUGUAGAGGGGGGUAGAAUUCCAGGUGUAGCGGUGAAAUGCGUAGAGAUCUGGAGGAAUACCGGUGGCGAAGGCGGCCCCCUGGACAAAGACUGACGCUCAGGUGCGAAAGCGUGGGGAGCAAACAGGAUUAGAUACCCUGGUAGUCCACGCCGUAAACGAUGUCUACUUGGAGGUUGUGCCCUUGAGGCGUGGCUUCCGGAGCUAACGCGUUAAGUAGACCGCCUGGGGAGUACGGCCGCAAGGUUAAAACUCAAAUGAAUUGACGGGGGCCCGCACAAGCGGUGGAGCAUGUGGUUUAAUUCGAUGCAACGCGAAGAACCUUACCUGGUCUUGACAUCCACAGAACUUUCCAGAGAUGGAUUGGUGCCUUCGGGAACUGUGAGACAGGUGCUGCAUGGCUGUCGUCAGCUCGUGUUGUGAAAUGUUGGGUUAAGUCCCGCAACGAGCGCAACCCUUAUCCUUUGUUGCCAGCGGUCCGGCCGGGAACUCAAAGGAGACUGCCAGUGAUAAACUGGAGGAAGGUGGGGAUGACGUCAAGUCAUCAUGGCCCUUACGACCAGGGCUACACACGUGCUACAAUGGCAUAUACAAAGAGAAGCGACCUCGCGAGAGCAAGCGGACCUCAUAAAGUAUGUCGUAGUCCGGAUUGGAGUCUGCAACUCGACUCCAUGAAGUCGGAAUCGCUAGUAAUCGUGGAUCAGAAUGCCACGGUGAAUACGUUCCCGGGCCUUGUACACACCGCCCGUCACACCAUGGGAGUGGGUUGCAAAAGAAGUAGGUAGCUUAACCUUCGGGAGGGCGCUUACCACUUUGUGAUUCAUGACUGGGGUGAAGUCGUAACAAGGUAACCGUAGGGGAACCUGCGGUUGGAUCACCUCCUUACCUUAAAGAAGC